UUUUAUCGAAAAUGAUGGUUUAAAAUAUUUGAUAAAAAAAUAUGUACACAUUGAACGGUUCCUUUAAAAAGCGUAUAUGACGUAGAAUAUCCGUCGCUUAAAAGACAGACAACGAGUUCAAAGAGGUCCUGACAUUUAUUUAAAUAUCGAUAUGCACGUUUUAGUCAACUGCUAUCAAUGUGCGUGUGUUUAACCCCAUCUGUUGUUAGAUAUCAACAUAUCACUUCCUCGUUCUUUAUGGGUUAAAUAUUCUCCUAACAUGUACCACUGAGUUUAAAUGGCUAAUGAAACAAUUAUCGCCUUACUUUUGUAUUGGUGUGUGUGUGAAAUAGCUUUAUUUAACGUCCGCUUCCACCGAAGUGAUAUCGCAGACAAUUGUAUUGGUGACAAUAGAUCUGCUUUUGUACCGUGUACCACUGAGUUUACAUGGCUGAUGAAACCAUUACCGCCUUACUUUUGUAUUGGUGACAAUAGAUAAUACCUUUGAACAAUCAUUUAAUUCACCCUCUGACUAACAUCGGCUUUAUUCCCCUUUCAGAAUAACACCCUUUGAUCUGUACGCCAUUUAAACAGAAAUUAAUAAGUAAAUUUUGCCAUUCCUUGUUAAUCAUUCAUGUUAAAAACACCGGAGCUUAUUAAACACUAUGUUUCAGAUUCUUCCGCAGAUAUUCCUGAUUCUAAUAGCCAGCUGUCUUAUUAGAGCUGAAGAAGCAGUAAAACGAGUAAAACGGUCGAGUGGUGGCCGUAGUGGAGGCAGGGGGUAUAUAGUAGAUUAUGGCAGUAGGCACCAGCAGGGAUACGGUGGAGGGAGUAGCGGCCAGGGAUAUAAUGGUGGCGGAAUGUACGCUGGUGGAAACCAAGGGGGUUAUGGAGGAGGUAGUAGCAGUGGCUAUGGUGGUGGCACCAUUAUGACCGGAUAUCCUACUGGGUAUGGUAGCAGUAUGUCUGGGUAUAGUGGCAUGAUGGGCGGUUACGGUGCUAUGGUGCCUAUGUAUAGUGGAUAUGGCACCAGUGGUUAUGGUGGAAUGAUGGGCGGAUAUGGCACUGGAGGUUAUGGUGGAAUGAUGGGUGGAUAUGGCACUGGAGGUUAUGGUGGUGGAAUGAUGGGUGGAUAUGGUACUGGAGGUUAUGGUGGAAUGAUGGGUGGAUAUGGCACUGGAGGGUAUGGUGGAAUGAUGGGUGGAUAUGGCACUGGAGGGUAUGGUGGAAUGAUGGGUGGAUAUGGCACUGGAGGGUAUGGCGGGGGUUAUGGGGGUGGGAGCAGCAGUUCAAUGGUUGGUUAGAUUGUUUAGUGUAAACACUAGAAUUUCAUCGUUCAGUAUCCAGAAUACAUUGAUAUAUUACGAAAGUUCGAGAUUGAAUUAAAGGACUGCGGACUAUCGUGCCAAGGACUCACCUGUAGCUUUGAGCAAAAAUGAAAUAAAAGCUUUACAUUUA
Long non-coding RNA from Patella vulgata (common limpet), 1437 nucleotides. RefSeq lists it as uncharacterized. Lineage: Eukaryota; Metazoa; Mollusca; Gastropoda; Patellidae. The record is from RefSeq and is a predicted model, not a curated record. The transcript is spliced from 2 exons.